RNAcentral lists this transfer RNA (82 nucleotides) under Dreissena polymorpha. RNAcentral describes it as "transfer RNA tryptophan (anticodon CCA)". It matches the Rfam family "tRNA". From Rfam's summary of the family: Transfer RNA (tRNA) molecules are approximately 80 nucleotides in length. Their secondary structure includes four short double-helical elements and three loops (D, anti-codon, and T loops). The record is from Rfam by way of RNAcentral. Lineage: Eukaryota; Metazoa; Mollusca; Bivalvia; Myida; Dreissenidae.
GUUGCCGUGGCCUAGUGGUUAAGGCGACGGACUCCAAAUCUUUUGGGAUCUUCCCGCGCAGGUUCGAAUCCUGCCGACAUCG